Long non-coding RNA from Papaver somniferum (opium poppy), 849 nucleotides. RefSeq lists it as uncharacterized. The record is from RefSeq and is a predicted model, not a curated record. The transcript has 4 exons. NCBI's taxonomy places the organism in Eukaryota, Viridiplantae, Streptophyta, Magnoliopsida, Ranunculales, Papaveraceae.
AGUUCCCUGAAAUUCAAUUAUCCAAAUACCCCUAGUCACCAUUUCCUGGUUUGAUUCCUCUCUUCUCAACAACUACUUCCUCUGGUUCCCCAUCUUCUUUCUCUUCAAUUUCUGGUGUUUUCUCUUUUCUUCUUCUUCUACUUCGAUCAUAUGAAGAAGUUGUUUAAACUUGAAAAUCCAAGGAUUCCAACCGAAGUAAGGGCAAAAGGUUUCCAGCGAAGCUGGAAAGGGCUUUGAUGUGACAAAUUUCUGGUAGCUUCAUCAAUGUUCGAUCAUAUGCCCCACAGGCCUGUAUUGGUCAUGCCUUUUAUGAGAAUCACUCUCGUUCUCGCAGCACGCUCAAAACUUGCCUUCCGUCUAUUACCACUGACUUCUAAAGGAUGGAUUUCCAAGACUUCACUUCUGUUGACAAGAGGUGGAUAGGACUUCCAAGAGACGACGAUGCUUUCAUUGCAGGAGUCCAUAAGUUCAUAGACUCUAGUCGGAUUUAGAAUCCGGGAAAAAAAAUUGGUGUUCUUGAAUAGAAUAUUAUGUAAAUGACCAUUUGUAUUAACAUUUCAAGCACAACAGGUUUUCUAUAUAUCAAAGAUGUAUAUGAUCAACAAAAGGAAGUGGUUAUAAAAUCGCAACCUCGUCGGUCUUUCAAUAUUUUGCAGGACUUGGUCAGUUAUCAACUGCAAAUGCCUUACAAAAUGGAGGACGGGUUUCUCCGUUUCUCUUACUAGGGUGGGGGUGUUACGAGUCUAUCACUGCGGAAGAUGCGCUAUGAAAUUACUCUUGACAUCGGGAGAGUUCAUAUUUUUAAUCUUUGUAAACUUUUAAGGAGUCUUUAAUGAUUCCUAUUUUUAA